This 433-nucleotide transfer-messenger RNA is filed under the name Candidatus Roizmanbacteria bacterium. It matches the Rfam family "transfer-messenger RNA". From Rfam's summary of the family: Bacterial tmRNA, also known as 10Sa RNA or SsrA, is named for its dual tRNA and mRNA-like properties. The record is from RNAcentral. Lineage: Bacteria; Candidatus Roizmaniibacteriota.
GGGGGUGACAGGAUUCGACGGAAAGUUCGCACGUUUAAAAAUGGUCAGGGCGGAUCUAUUCGAUAAAUAGAAAAACCAUAACUGCUAAAGACAAAUUUAGCGAGAUUAAGGAAACAGCAGCUGGCCUUCUUGGUCAGUUGUCCGGGCGAAUGGCCGUAGCUAAUCUUAGCUAUGCUCCACUCGUUGCGUAAUUCCUUACGCUCCUUCUACAGAAAUUUUCUCGAUUUUCAUUCUGUAGGGGAAAACCAAUCGAGAUAGGAUUUGAGAGGAGAUCCCGAUUUGCCUCUCGAGUCCGACAACCCACUAAUCGGCGGCUUAUCAAUGUUUGAUUGUUUCUAACGGUAAGCAUGGAAUCAAUACACAAUCUAUCCUUGACUAAACAUAUUUAAAAGUGUCUUUUCGGACCCGGGUUCAACUCUCGGCACCUCCACCG